Molecule: long non-coding RNA, 246 nt
Filed under: Elaeis guineensis (African oil palm)
Lineage: Eukaryota; Viridiplantae; Streptophyta; Magnoliopsida; Arecales; Arecaceae
Description: long non-coding RNA (EGUI_LNC013801)
Source: RNAcentral
GAAUACAAUACGAUUUCAAAACUCCAGAGUCCGCGAAGUUUGGCCCUCCAUCGAGGGUCGGCUCUUGCCUGAAGUACGAGCCUCGACGCCCUGACUUGAGCCCUACGUCUCGUCGAAAACCUACGCUUCGAUCAACGAAUCUAUGACUCGAUCGUUGAAUCUACGGCUCAAUCUACGUCCCGAUCACCGACGACAUACCGGAUUCUACGACAGGGAUCGGAGGAGCAAAAUAUCUACGAUGGCCCC